Molecule: unclassified non-coding RNA, 295 nt
Filed under: uncultured Vishniacozyma
Lineage: Eukaryota; Fungi; Basidiomycota; Tremellomycetes; Tremellales; Bulleribasidiaceae
Description: partial contains 5.8S ribosomal RNA, internal transcribed spacer 2, and large subunit ribosomal RNA
Rfam family: 5.8S ribosomal RNA (bases 1-102)
Source: RNAcentral
AUGCGAUAAGUAAUGUGAAUUGCAGAAUUCAGUGAAUCAUCGAAUCUUUGAACGCACCUUGCGCCCUCUGGUAUUCCGGAGGGCAUGCCUGUUUGAGUGUCAUGAACACCUCACCCCCUCGGGUUUCCGAUCGGGUGGACUUGGGCGCUGCCAGUCAUGGCUCGCCUUAAAUGCAUUAGCGGUUGUUGACGUAAUAAGUUUCGUCUGUAUGCCGCUGACAAUCUCCUUCGGGAUGUCUUUCGGGACAAAUUCAUGAUCUGACCUCAAAUCAGGUAGGACUACCCGCUGAACUUAA